Molecule: unclassified non-coding RNA, 263 nt
Filed under: plant metagenome
Description: partial contains small subunit ribosomal RNA, internal transcribed spacer 1, and 5.8S ribosomal RNA
Source: RNAcentral
UUUCCGUAGGUGAACCUGCGGAAGGAUCAUUAUUGUAUAACCGAGGUGCGAGGGCUGUCGCUGACCCGAAAGGUCGUGCACGCCCGAGUGCCCUCACACACAUACAUCUCACCCCUAUGUGCACCUCCGCGUGGGUCCCCCUUUGGCUUGUUCGGAGGGGGGCUUACGUUUUCACACAAACUUUGUAUGCAGUGUAGAAUGUAUUUUUUGUUUUUGCGAUCACGCAAUCAAUACAACUUUCAACAACGGAUCUCUUGGCUCUC